GGGUGCGAUCAUACCAGCACUAAAGCACCGGAUCCCAUCAGAACUCCGAAGUUAAGCGUGCUUGGGCGAGAGUAGUACUAGGAUGGGUGACCUCCUGGGAAGUCCUCGUGUUGCACCCCU
Molecule: ribosomal RNA, 120 nt
Filed under: Allium senescens
Lineage: Eukaryota; Viridiplantae; Streptophyta; Magnoliopsida; Asparagales; Amaryllidaceae
Also listed under: 1 other name
Source: RNAcentral